UGGGGAAUCUUGCACAAUGGGGGCAACCCUGAUGCAGCGACGCCGCGUGAGCGAUGAAGGUUUUCGAAUCGUAUAGCUCUGUCCUAUGGGAAGAUAAUGAUGGUACCAUAGGAGGACGCCCCGGUUAACUACGUGCCAGCAUCCGCGGUAAUACGUAGGGGGCGAGCGUUGUCCGGAAUUACUGGGCGUAAAGGGUUCGCAGGCGGCCUGGCAAGUCCGAUGUAAAAGGCGAAGGCUCAACCUUCGUAAGCAUCGGAAACUGUCAAGCUUGAGUGAAGGAGAGGCAAGUAGAAUUCCUAGUGUAGCGGUGGAAUGCGUAGAUAUUAGGAGGAAUACCGGUGGAGAAGGCGACUUGCUGGACUUAAACUGACGCUGAGGAACGAAAGCGUGGGUAGCAAACAGG
RNAcentral lists this ribosomal RNA (403 nucleotides) under Verrucomicrobiota bacterium. RNAcentral's name for it is "Verrucomicrobia bacterium partial 16S ribosomal RNA". It matches the Rfam family "Bacterial small subunit ribosomal RNA", at positions 355 to 776 of the family's 1533-position model. The record is from RNAcentral. Lineage: Bacteria; Pseudomonadati; Verrucomicrobiota.